This is a long non-coding RNA of Rhineura floridana, 584 nucleotides long. RefSeq lists it as uncharacterized. The record is from RefSeq and is a predicted model, not a curated record. The transcript has 3 exons. NCBI's taxonomy places the organism in Eukaryota, Metazoa, Chordata, Lepidosauria, Squamata, Rhineuridae.
GAGAAAAAUAAAAUAAAAAUCCAACCCCCUGGGUAGCUGUCUUAAUUCUAAAGGAACACACAUUUCACAAGGUAGGGCUUCUGUGCUUGUAACACGCUUCAUGCCAAAAGGACAUUCUUCUUCACGCAGAAGUACUUUGUGAAACACAAAACGAUGGAAUUUGCUCCCACAGGAGGCAGUGAUGGCCACCAAUUUGGAUAGCUUUCAAAGAGGAUUAGACAAAUUCUAAUAAGGCAACCACGAAAUUCAUGUGAAAGUAGUCUCCUAGGAAAACUGACCAUGGAAAAUUGAGUAUAAAGAGCAAUAAAAGAAUGUUCUGCUGUCACAUAAAAAUCCACAGGAGGAUUUACAUCUUGCCUGAAAAAAGAAGUUCCUUCCAAAGGGAUCUUCACUUUGGGCAAAGGACAGACUGAGUCAGAACAUAAGUACUGAGAAUCCUCAUGUACAUCAAGGGACCACAAGUUCCCUGUGGUAGAAGAAGAAUCUUCUGUUGAUUGAUGAUGAUUCUCCAACAUAGAUCCUGAAAUUGCUGUGAAUGUGCAAUCAGCUGUGAGAGCUCACAAAACAUGACAUGGCUGGCAAUU